GCAUGUUUUGAGUGUAAAAUAUGUACAGAAUUAAUUAAUGAUAUAAAGAAACAGUUAAAUCGCAAUAUCUUUUAUGCGUAUAAUGAAAAAAACUAAUUAUUUUGUAAUUAAUUACCAAGUUGUUAUUCAAAAUAUGUUGCGGUUUAUUUGUUAACUUUUAAUUAUUUUACUACUUACCUAUCAAGCAAGUAAACGCCAAGACAGCUAAAAGGAAUUGCAUAAACCAUCCGUAUGUGUCGGUGAGGGCAUCCUUAGAGCAAUGGAGCUCGGAGAAAUAAAUAUAAUCGGAACUGUUAUUCAUUUUUCAUGACUUCACUUGUAAAAUGUUUAAUCAAAUAUUUACACCACUAAUUUCACUAUCUACACAAACCACUGACAUAUUCGAAUAAAAAAAAAUAUUUGCCGAUAAAAAAUAUUUACAAAAAAAGACGUGUUAUUAAAAAAAUAAUUUCUCGAAAAAAUACAUGUAAUCGCAAUACCUACAAACGUGACAUUUGUAAGCUCUGUCAAAUUUCGUGUACUGUGUUUUUUUUUUUUCAAAGCUAAAUGUUAUUUUUCUGCGUGCUUCUUAAUUAUUAGCUGACAUUCUAUAGUAUACAAAACACGUUUAAUGUAAAUAGUAGAAUAUAGUAUAUUAUCAGCUGGUAACAUUAGAAAACGCUACCAAACAUUUUUCUGGCAUUGCCGCCAUUUUUUUUUAUCGUUUUCCUGUUUUGCGAUUAUAAUUUUUUUCCAUUACAUUGGGAUAUUAUUCAUAAUAAUAAUAAGUUUUUUAGUUAUAUAAAACUUACGACGCAGUAUUUAGUGGAGGUGUACAUCUCCUUUGAGUAAACCCUUCGGCUGAAACAAUUGGUACCAACAUGAAGAGGGACGCGUAUGGGGACGAGGGUCCCGCGCAGAAGCGGCAGCGGCAUUCAGACGACGAGGUCACAUUUCUCAUACCAAGCAAGGUGGCUGGUUCAAUCAUUGGAAAAGGUGGCACCAAUAUAUCAAAACUGAGAAACCAGUACAAAGCCUCUAUAACAGUCCCAGAUUGCCCCGGCCCCGAACGGGUGUUAUCAAUAACGGCUGAAGAUGUGGACACGCUUCUUGAAAUUGUCAAAGAAAUAUUGCCAUGUUUGGCGGAAGGAGGGCCCAAGGCCAUGGGCGACCAGGACCUGGACGUGCGUCUACUAAUCCACCAGAGCCGCGCCGGCUGCGUGAUCGGCAAGGCCGGCGCCAAGAUCAAGGAACUGCGCGAGAAAACCGGCGCCCGCUUGAAGAUAUUCUCUAGUCCGGCGCCUCAGAGCAUGGAGCGCAUCGUGCAGCUGGUGGGCAAGCCCGACGCCAUCGCCGCCGGCAUCCGAGAGGUGCUCGAACUCAUACGCCAGGUGCCAAUCAAAGGUCCAAUCCAGAACUACGAUCCGCACAAUUAUGACGAUUACUACGCGGACCAAUACGGAGGGUUCGGAGCCGGGCAGGGUGGCGGCGGUGGCGGCGGCGGCGGUCGUCCUCCCCGCGGCAUGCCGCCCAUGGGCCCCGCCGGCCGGCCCCCGCCGCGCGGACCCCCGCCCGCGCGCAACGGCCCACCACCUCCGCGCACUGGCUUUAACGACUUCUCCGGCCCUGGACCACGAGCUAACUUCAGCGGCGGUCCCCCGCGCGGAGGCUUUGGUGGCGGCAGCUUCGGAGGGAACUUCGGAGGCGGUGGCGGUGGAGGCCGCAGCUCCGGUUCUGGCGGCGGAAACUUCAACGGUAGCUCGGUCAACCAGCAGGAGACCACCACACAAGUUACCAUUCCCAAAGAUUUGGCGGGCGCCAUUAUAGGCAAGGCGGGGUCUCGCAUCCGCAAGAUCCGCGCGGAGAGCGGCGCCGGCAUAGAGAUCGCGGAGCCUCUGCCCGGCUCCAGCGACCGCAUCAUCACCAUCACGGGCACGCCGCAGCGCAUACAGAUGGCGCAGUACCUCUUGCAACAAAGUGUGCACGAGAGCAACCCGAAUCUCGGCCGAAACUUCUGAUUCGAGGACAUAUUGAAUCGUAUGUUGCUGCUGUAACUUGUAAGGUUUAAUAAACCACCUCAUAUCACGUGAUUGAUUCUGUAACUGUAUAGUGUAACGCGAGGCUCUCGUUUAUAAUGGCGUGUAAAGUCUGACCUGGAAACAACCGAAAAAAAAAAGACAAAGGAUAAAUUUGUUUUGUAAAUAGACUUGUUUGUGCGUUUCUAUUUUAUUAUCACAAAUAAUUUUAUCUAUGUUUGGAACAACUGAUUAUUGAAAUAUAUUUUCACAUUUCCAGAUCAGACUUCACACAAAACGUAAGAAUGCAUUUAUCAUUAUAUACAUAAUAUUAUUAAAAGAGAAUUAUCUAAGAUUGUGUCAAUGAUUUACUGAUUUAUUUGUUACAUUACAUCGAUGUAAUUUUAAGUGAUAGGUAAUAGAAAUUAAACGAAGUUUAUUUUAUGAUUCCAUG
RNAcentral lists this microRNA precursor (2448 nucleotides) under Manduca sexta (tobacco hornworm). Lineage: Eukaryota; Metazoa; Arthropoda; Insecta; Lepidoptera; Sphingidae. The record is from RNAcentral.